UUAGCUUGCUUUUGAAGAUCAGCGGCGGACGGGUGAGUAACACGUGGGCAACCUGCCUGUAAGACUGGGAUAACUUCGGGAAACCGGAGCUAAUACCGGAUAAUCCUUUCCCUCACAUGAGGGAAAGCUGAAAGACGGUUUCGGCUGUCACUUACAGAUGGGCCCGCGGCGCAUUAGCUAGUUGGUGAGGUAACGGCUCACCAAGGCAACGAUGCGUAGCCGACCUGAGAGGGUGAUCGGCCACACUGGGACUGAGACACGGCCCAGACUCCUACGGGAGGCAGCAGUAGGGAAUCUUCCGCAAUGGACGAAAGUCUGACGGAGCAACGCCGCGUGAACGAUGAAGGCCUUCGGGUCGUAAAGUUCUGUUGUCAGGGAAGAACAAGUACCGGAGUAACUGCCGGUACCUUGACGGUACCUGACCAGAAAGCCACGGCUAACUACGUGCCAGCAGCCGCGGUAAUACGUAGGUGGCAAGCGUUGUCCGGAAUUAUUGGGCGUAAAGCGCGCGCAGGCGGUUCCUUAAGUCUGAUGUGAAAGCCCCCGGCUCAACCGGGGAGGGUCAUUGGAAACUGGGGA
Molecule: ribosomal RNA, 579 nt
Filed under: marine sediment bacterium BB0608_2216_7.1_5G0
Lineage: Bacteria
Description: bacterial SSU rRNA
Rfam family: Bacterial small subunit ribosomal RNA
Source: RNAcentral